GGGUACGGUGGCUUAGUGGUUAGCACGUUUGCCUCACAGCACACCACAUCACACCUCCAGGGUCGGGGGUUCGAUUCCCACCGUGACCG
Molecule: non-coding RNA, 89 nt
Organism: Ameiurus melas (black bullhead)
Lineage: Eukaryota; Metazoa; Chordata; Actinopteri; Siluriformes; Ictaluridae
Source: the annotation of a GenBank genome assembly